This 240-nucleotide ribosomal RNA is filed under the name Triticum aestivum (bread wheat). Its description in RNAcentral is "partial small subunit ribosomal RNA". Lineage: Eukaryota; Viridiplantae; Streptophyta; Magnoliopsida; Poales; Poaceae. The record is from RNAcentral.
AUGGUGGGGCGUGCCCGGCCGCACGCUGGAGGCUGUCCUCGAGUACAUCGAGGGCGGCAACACGCCGAGGCUGGAGUACCCCUCCCCCCCGUCCUUCUCUCGCCGUCGUGGGAGCUCAUGGACGCCGAGGCGCAUGGACCUCGGGGCAUCCUCCUCCUCGUCAGGUCGGUCAACCGGCUCUCCCUGCCUCCGCCCCGUCAAGCCGGAGCCCCAAGACACGCCCCAGGAGACGCCUGUUAG